RNAcentral lists this non-coding RNA (26 nucleotides) under Rattus norvegicus (Norway rat). The record is from RNAcentral. Lineage: Eukaryota; Metazoa; Chordata; Mammalia; Rodentia; Muridae.
GAAAAUCAAUAUUCUGUGGUCUGCCU